Long non-coding RNA from Eleginops maclovinus (Patagonian blennie), 1357 nucleotides. RefSeq lists it as uncharacterized. NCBI's taxonomy places the organism in Eukaryota, Metazoa, Chordata, Actinopteri, Perciformes, Eleginopidae. The record is from RefSeq and is a predicted model, not a curated record. The transcript has 5 exons.
CCUUGAACACUGAGCAGAAGGCUGGGGCUGAGGGAGGCAGAGGAGAGGGGAAGGCAGGCUGAAGGAGAGGCAGGGACGGGGAGAGCCGAGGCCGGGGUACGAGCUCCGAGAGUGGGGGGAACGAGGGGUUGGCAGGCCAGGGGGGAAAAGGUGUGGAGUUGGGAUGGUGGGGUUGACACAGGAACCCGGUAAAGAUGAGGGACAGGAAGGCUGCGAAUAAACUGGGAGAGGAAUGUUAGGUUCCUUCAAGACGAGGGAUAAGGUGUCACAUAGAGGAGAAGGAAAGGCCAGGUAGGGCAGAUCAAAUGACAUACAAGAGAUGUGAGACCAGGCAGGAGGGGGUUGACAUAGAUCGAAAUAUAUAAUUUUUCAUGCAUAAACAUGCCGUAUGUGUAGGAAAAGGUGUCUCAGGUCAGUAAUAACAACCGGAGGUAAUUCAGUAUAACAGAGCUACAUUUGGGCAGAGAGAGUUGAGUACUCAAGCUUCAGGAGUUUUUUUUUUUUGUGCUUUUCCUCCCAUGGAUGUAAUGCUGGUUCAGCUGCCCACGUCCAAUCAGACAUCAGGACCGCAGGCCUUGUCAUAAUGACAGCCAUGACAUCACUGCAAGGGCUCACGGAAAGAAGACAGCGCAGCUCCAGACCGACAGCGGGGCUCCACGGGGCUGCACGCGGGCACAGCGAGCCGGCUGCCAGAUAGAAACGGAGCGGACUACUGGGGAUGGGGGGACUCGCAGAGGGUGCCGUUUUCAGGUUUCGCGACCGGGGUCGGGAGCUCUGUGCAGGGCACAUUGAGGCUCCCUCGCUGGAUGAAGCGAGAGGAAGUUAUGGAGGAGGUUGAGAGGAAUGGCAUCUUGUUUAAUUUCUGCCAAUCAAGACGAGAGGACAACUCAAAACUGGCAUGACAUCAGAGGAGAGUGAAGACAGGAUCAAGAGACCAGGACAAUUUAUGAACCCGAUGGCAUAUGGGAACUGAGGAGCUGCGGCGGCUGUAAUCUCCACUGUUCAAUUAGCUGCAGUGACCGGGACGCCACCUACACUUCAUUACCAGGGAGGGGAAGGUGUCACAGGUGUAAACGAGAGCUUGCCAUCCAAAGUGGGAGCCAUUCCUAGGUGAAGCAAACCAAAUUAAAAUGAAUCAAGCUGAACUGAUCUGAACUGGAAUGGCCUGAGCUGAACUGAAAGGAAAGCUCCAGCCUCACAGGACUCUCAGAAAAAAAGAUUCAGGCUGAAAAAAACCUUGAAAUCACAGAUGAAACCUGUUGUUUCCUGUGGGGGGUUCCUUGUUAUAUUUAUACCGCUGUUCACUCUUAUAGUAUGUUGUAUGACAUGAAUUAAAAUAAAACGAAGUUUGACUCAA